AAAAGUUACUUAAGAGCAUAUGAUGAAUGCCUUGACGAACUGUGCCGAUGAAGGACGUAGAAGGCUGCGAAAAGCCUCGGGGAGCUGCCAAUCAAGCUUUGAUCCGGGGAUAUCCGAAUGGGGGAACCCAGCGCGAGUCAUGUCGCGUUACCCUAUAGUGAAUACAUAGCUAUAGUGGCGGGCACCAGGGGAACUGAAACAUCUCAUUACCCUGAGGAAAAGAAAUCAACCGAGAUUCCCUUAGUAGCGGCGAGCGAAAAGGGAUCAGCCAAAACUUAUCCGUUUCCUUUGAUUUAUCAGAGGUUACCUCAAUAAUUACGGAGAGGGUUGCGAGAUUGUAGAUGACCAUAUAAUAGCGUGUAAGUCUUUAAACACUUAUACGGUAUUAUAUGCGACCACCGAUGAGGAUCGAGUGGAUAAAGUAAAAAAAUGAAAAGCUUAGAGGAAGGCGCCUGGAAAGGACCACCACAGAGCGUGAAAGUCGCGUACUUAAAAAACUUUUCGUCUUUAUAUCUACUUUACUCAAGUAGGACGGGGCACGUGUAACCCUGUCUGAAUCUGGGAGGACCACCUUCCAAGGCUAAUUACACAGUUCGAUCGAUAGUGUACAAGUACCGUGAGGGAAAGGUGAAAAGAACCCCGUAAGGGGAGUGAAAUAGAAUCCUGAAAUCAUAUGCUUACAAUGAGUCGGAGCAGAUUUAUUCUGUGACGGCGUGCUUUUUGUAGAACGAUCCAGCGAGUUACGAUGUGUGGCAAGGUUAAGGUGUAUACGCACCGGAGCCAUAGUGAAAGCGAGCCUUAAAUGGGCGAUGGGAUCUGCUUUGUGAUAAUUUUUGAAAUAAUAAAGUUAUUAGAAAGCAGAUCCCGAUUAGUCGCAUGUCGUAGACCCGAAACCAGGUGACCUAACCAUGGGCAGGCUGAAGCGCAGGUAAAACUGCGUGGAGGGCCGAACCACCGCCAGCUGCAAAUGGCUUGGAUGAGCUGUGGUUAGCGGAGAAAUUCCAAUCGAACCUGGAGAUAGCUGGUUCUCCUCGAAAUAGCUUUAGGGCUAGCGUCAUAAACUACCUCUCAGGGGUAGAGCACUGAAUGGGUAGUGGGCCACUUUGUGGUACUGCGCUCAAUCAAACUCCGAAUACUGAGAGAGACUAUUAUGGCAGUCAGAACACGGGAGCUAAGUUUCGUGCUCGAAAGGGAAACAGCCCAGAUCGCCGUCUAAGGCCCCCAAGUCAUAGCUAAGUGGGAAACGAGGUG
This 1251-nucleotide ribosomal RNA is filed under the name Candidatus Saccharimonadota bacterium. RNAcentral describes it as "partial 23S ribosomal RNA". It matches the Rfam family "Bacterial large subunit ribosomal RNA", at positions 1 to 1077 of the family's 2925-position model. The record is from RNAcentral. Lineage: Bacteria; Candidatus Saccharimonadota.